UACGUAGGGGGCAAGCGUUGUCCGGAUUUAUUGGGCGUAAAGAGCGUGUAGGCGGCUAGGUAGGUCCGUUGUGAAAACUCGAGGCUCAACCUCGAGACGCCGAUGGAAACCAUCUAGCUAGAGUCCGGAAGAGGAGAGUGGAAUUCCUGGUGUAGCGGUGAAAUGCGCAGAUAUCAGGAAGAACACCCGUGGCUAAGGCGGCUCUCUAGUACGGUACUGACGCUGAGGAGCGAAAGCGUGGGGAGCGAACAGG
Molecule: ribosomal RNA, 253 nt
Filed under: uncultured bacterium
Lineage: Bacteria
Description: partial 16S ribosomal RNA
Rfam family: Bacterial small subunit ribosomal RNA
Source: RNAcentral